This 383-nucleotide ribosomal RNA is filed under the name uncultured eukaryote. RNAcentral describes it as "partial 18S ribosomal RNA". It matches the Rfam family "Eukaryotic small subunit ribosomal RNA", at positions 592 to 976 of the family's 1831-position model. The record is from RNAcentral.
CAAUAGCGUAUAUUGAAGUUGUUGCAGUUAAAAAGCUCGUAGUUGGAUUUCUGGUAGGAGUGACCGUUCCGAACUUGAUUGUUCGUGUAUUGUGUUUUCUCCAGCCAUCCUUGUGGAGAACUUUUCUUGCAUUAAUUUGUAGGGAUUGGGACCCGCAUCGUUUACUGUGAAAAAAUUAGAGUGUUUAAAGCAGGCAAUCGCUUGAAUACAUUAGCAUGGAAUAAUAAGAUAGGACUUUGGUACUAUUUUGUUGGUUUGCAUACCAAAUUAAUGAUCAACAGGAACAGUUUGAGGAUAUUCGUAUGAACAUGUCAGAGGUGAAAUUCUUGGAUUUUGAUCAGACGAACUACUGCGAAAGCAUUUAUCAAGGAUGUUUUCAUUAA